This is a long non-coding RNA of Sinocyclocheilus anshuiensis, 346 nucleotides long. RefSeq lists it as uncharacterized. The record is from RefSeq and is a predicted model, not a curated record. Lineage: Eukaryota; Metazoa; Chordata; Actinopteri; Cypriniformes; Cyprinidae. The transcript has 2 exons.
CGGCUGAAAUCAUUGCUUGGCAGAAGAAGAAUUAGUCAUCAAUGAAUUAUGGCAUUUUGUUGUUUAUUUUAUAAAAUCUUACCAGCUAUAUGUAGUGAUUUACAGAAGCAAUUUGUGGGAAUCUCUAUAAAUGUUCGUCUUGGGCUUGUCCGUAUAUUCUGCUUUGAUGUAAACAUGCUGUGUGUCGGUGUUUGUGCAGGCGAUGAGUAUGUUCAGCAGUGCUCUGGCCUCUGGGCAGCUCGGCCCGCUCAUGAACCAGUUUGGUCUGCCCUCUGAAGCAGUGGACGCAGCUAAUAAAGGAGAUGUGGAAGCGUUUGCCAAGGCCAUGGAGGGCAGUGAUAGCAAA